RNAcentral lists this ribosomal RNA (414 nucleotides) under Shigella sonnei. RNAcentral's name for it is "bacterial SSU rRNA". It matches the Rfam family "Bacterial small subunit ribosomal RNA", at positions 1 to 411 of the family's 1533-position model. The record is from RNAcentral. Lineage: Bacteria; Pseudomonadati; Pseudomonadota; Gammaproteobacteria; Enterobacterales; Enterobacteriaceae.
AAAUUGAAGAGUUUGAUCAUGGCUCAGAUUGAACGCUGGCGGCAGGCCUAACACAUGCAAGUCGAACGGUAACAGGAAGCAGCUUGCUGCUUCGCUGACGAGUGGCGGACGGGUGAGUAAUGUCUGGGAAACUGCCUGAUGGAGGGGGAUAACUACUGGAAACGGUAGCUAAUACCGCAUAAUGUCGCAAGACCAAAGAGGGGGACCUUCGGGCCUCUUGCCAUCGGAUGUGCCCAGAUGGGAUUAGCUUGUUGGUGGGGUAACGGCUCACCAAGGCGACGAUCCCUAGCUGGUCUGAGAGGAUGACCAGCCACACUGGAACUGAGACACGGUCCAGACUCCUACGGGAGGCAGCAGUGGGGAAUAUUGCACAAUGGGCGCAAGCCUGAUGCAGCCAUGCCGCGUGUAUGAAGA